RNAcentral lists this long non-coding RNA (199 nucleotides) under Lathyrus oleraceus (garden pea). Its description in RNAcentral is "Pisum sativum (pea) long non-coding RNA (PSAT_LNC006629)". Lineage: Eukaryota; Viridiplantae; Streptophyta; Magnoliopsida; Fabales; Fabaceae. The record is from RNAcentral.
AAAAAACCAAAAAGAACUAACUCAUUCAAACCAUUUUAGGCCUUUGUGCCUUUCAAACUUAAUUUUUGUUAAAAUUAAUGCAUCCACUUUGAAAUUUAUAUCACGAACUACGAGGUUUUUAUCCCUCAUUUUUAUGUUGGUACGUAGGCACAAGACCGAAGGUCUUGUCAAACACAAAAAUGUAAUUAAUGAAUUCUUU